Molecule: long non-coding RNA, 480 nt
Organism: Hyla sarda
Lineage: Eukaryota; Metazoa; Chordata; Amphibia; Anura; Hylidae
Exons: 2
Source: RefSeq, a predicted model, not a curated record
UGUUUGGUUGCUAUGGGCAACUGGGCAACUUUUCCUCUGGACAGGUCUUCAUAAAUCUCCCCCAGAGACUUGUGGAGGACACAGUAGAAGAUCAGCUGUUCCCUCUGUGAACAUUGCAGAGCACUUUGUAACAGGCAGCUGUCAGGAUACAGAGAAGAGAAGACUAUUUCCAAUUCCAUGUCACUCAGCAGCACAGAAAAACAUAACUUCAUUACUCCCCAGAAGCAAGGACAAUAUCCCUUGACAGAUGUAGAAAUGUAGGCAGACGUGCACACAGCGCUUAGAAAAGAGGAAAAGCUUUAAUAAAUGUAAAACAGACGUGAGCAAAAGAAGAGAAAAGUACUAAUAAGUACAAAAUACCAGAUAUUCUGUACCUUAUUCUACAUGUAAAGCUAUUCGCCAUACAUUGGUAGAGAUGACAAAAAAAAAAAAAAAAAAAAAAAAAUUACCUAUUAAAUAACCAACUGUUCAACAAAAUAA